This 250-nucleotide ribosomal RNA is filed under the name uncultured bacterium. RNAcentral's name for it is "partial 16S ribosomal RNA". It matches the Rfam family "Bacterial small subunit ribosomal RNA", at positions 524 to 773 of the family's 1533-position model. The record is from RNAcentral.
UACAGAGGGUGCGAGCGUUGUUCGGAAUCACUGGGCGUAAAGCGCGUGUAGGCGGUCUGGUUAGUCGGAUGUGAAAGCCCUGGGCUCAACCUAGGAACUGCAUCCGAUACUGCCAGACUAGAGUUCUGGAGGGGGUGGUGGAAUUCCCGGUGUAGAGGUGAAAUUCGUAGAUAUCGGGAGGAACACCUGUGGCGAAGGCGACCACCUGGACAGAUACUGACGCUGAGACGCGAAAGCGUGGGGAGCAAAC